This 1935-nucleotide long non-coding RNA is filed under the name Durio zibethinus. RNAcentral's name for it is "long non-coding RNA (DZIB_LNC001212)". Lineage: Eukaryota; Viridiplantae; Streptophyta; Magnoliopsida; Malvales; Malvaceae. The record is from RNAcentral.
GUAACUUUCUUCCCAAAGAAACGACAUACUGCACUUUCCUACUUGUAUGUUGUAACUGUUUUACCACUUUUGACACCUGAAACAAUAGUUAGAUGCAGAGGUUACAGUUUGCUUGACUUUGUUCCUUGCUGCUGUGUUAUAAUUCCGAGUCUUUUGUAAUCUACAGAAAAUAUUAUGACUAAAGAAGAUACAGCAAGUAAGCAAAUCACCAAAGAAGCGAACAUCAGCACAGGACAUAAUCAAAAGAAGAAUGUCCAUCUCUAAUAAUUUGCUAAUGAACUUAAUUGCGGGGUGGUUUAUGAUCAACAGCGGGCAUCGCAACUAUUUCAUUAAGCAAAUGUUUAGGCUGCAGCCUGCAAAAGAACAGAAAUAACAAUCUCAAUAACAAGGAGCUUUAGCGGCUGAAGCUUUCAUUAAGAGAGCUUUUUAGUUUUAAUGGUUUUCUUCAGAGAUGAGAGAGGUUGUCUGUGAUCUGCUAGUGGAAAAUAGUUAUAUUAACUCCUCUCGGGUGGAAAUAGAAUUUCAUGACAUCCAAGAGCAGGGAUGGAAACUAGUGAGAACAGAUAGUGCAAGCUGAGAAAGAUGAAUAUAAAGGAAGGAAAGAAAGGAAAAAAAGACUGCUAGAAGGGACUGCGAAAAUUUACAUCUAUUCAAUGUGUUAUUCAUCAAUCUAUACUCUAGCUGAUUAGAAUGGACAUAAAACUUCUGUAAAGGCAAUCACUGGGUUACAUAAGUCAUAGCUAACAGAAAUUUCUUCCCAAAGAGAAUUGAGAACACUGAGAAGUGAGAACAAUGAUGCCCAUUGUUUUACUCCUGUUAGGUUCAUUUUCUAUUGCUUUUCUUUUCAAUUUAAUUGCGGAGAAACAAAACAUUAGGAAUACUAGCAAAGUAUCAUUUGUCGUGGCAUGGUUCCUAGUUGCAGUUAAACAGUCGUUGCCUCCCCACCCACCCUUUGUCGGAUUGGCGGUUAUAUCAAACUGCUAACUGGAGAACCAUGGAUGUUGGCAGUGGCACCCCUGCCAUGGUGGUAAGGGAUGCCAUGUGAUGCCAAUGGUAAUAGUAUUUGUAAACAUCCUCCAAGAAAAGCAGGUGCAUCGAUUGCUUCAACAUUAUCACCAUCAUCUACAAGUAAUAAGCAUUAACUAUGACAAUGCAACCAAGUAAUCGGUGCUCGUAUUCUUAUAAGCAAAAUUGACAAUGAAAUUGAGCUGCAGGUUUGAAAUGGUAUGUAAUUUGAUAGUUCUGAGUUGUUUUCAAGAGGCUCUUGAUUUGUUUCCUGGUAGUAAAAUAUAGUCAAAACAACCAGAACAUUUCAAUUCUACCAUCCUCUUUACUUGGGAUUCUUAAUUCCUAAAACCAAAUCCACGCCUUCACAGUAUACUAAUCAAAUCAUUACUCGAUAAAAUCAUGGGAAAAAAAUCAGAAACCAACGAAAUCAAAGGAAUCACAGACAACCAGUAUCUGAUUAUCAAAAAAGAGACAAAGGGUAUUUUAAGAAGAAAGCAUUAGGCAUUACCUGAGUUUGAAAUAUGAAAUUAAGAGACAUCUUUGGCAUGGUGCCAGAAAGCAGCAGAGCAAAGAAUAAAAGCAAUGAAAGCAAAAAUUCCCAACCCAAUCAUCAAAGAAAUCCCAGCUACCACCAAAUCCAGUAAGGACUGGACGCUUAACCCCAUCAAUAUCACCAUCUUUUCCUCACUCUCUUUUGUGAUGAUUCUUCAAGAUAAAAUACGAAAUUUGAAGCUGGGUUUUUUUUUUUUUAUUUUUUAGUUCCCUGUUCUUGUAAGAAACCAGUAGAGAAAUGGAAGAAUCUCUCAUCCCCCUUCGGCUGUUCCCCCUAUAUGAUAUAGGUGUAAAGAGAGAGAGAUCCAAGACAGAACUAACCCAGGGACAGAAACACUUGUAUUUUUGGGAUUUGGGAAGGUUCUGAACAUUUUU